This is a long non-coding RNA of Pantherophis guttatus, 1489 nucleotides long. RefSeq lists it as uncharacterized. The record is from RefSeq and is a predicted model, not a curated record. NCBI's taxonomy places the organism in Eukaryota, Metazoa, Chordata, Lepidosauria, Squamata, Colubridae.
GCUGAGGGUAGCGAUCAUACUGUGGUUGCUGAUUGACAUGAAGUGCCAGACAGAUGCCGCAUCUUGCUCCGGAAGUGAUCUCUCUCCUAUCCUUCAUGAGUGGUAUAAACCAGGAAAGUUCCUCAUCGGCGGGAUUACAGCUCAGAUUGCCUACGUACUAAAGCAACAUUCUUUUGAUGAGCAUCCUUCGCAGAAUUCAUUUAUACCACCCCUAAAAGAGAAGAGAGAUAGAGGAGAGGAAAAGCAAAUCAGAACAACAAAAAGGAAAAGUCAUCUAUCUAUCGUCUCUUGCCUGCUUCAAUACUUUAAUUGCUAUGCUUUAAAAGAAAGAGAGAGAAAAGGAAAAGCAAAUCAGAACAACAACAAAGAAGAAUCAUCUAUCCAUCGUCUCUUGCCUGUUUCAAUACUUUAAUUGCUAUGCUUUUUUUUUUUACUUGCCUCCCAAAUUCCUCCCUUUAUCUCUGUCUGCAUCUGCUUCUUUACUGUUCAAUCUAGGUAUUUCUCCCACCUCUACCCUCUCCCACUGCCUAGUUUCCAAAAUUUCUACCCAGGCCCCUGUCUCCCUUUCAGACAUAUCUUCCAACUCUCUUAAUGUAUUUUCCCCCGGUUGAAUUAAUCAUUCACUGUUAUUUUCAUUGUUAUCUCCUCUUUGUCUCUAAGAGCUCUAUUUGUAAUCAGACGUUGUUUCGACGGUGUAUCAGCUUCAAAGAAUCUUUUGGAAUCAGCUUCAAAUAAUCUUACUGGAAUCUCAAUUUUAUUAUGUUUUUGUGGAUCAGGUUGACUGAUCACUGUGAGAGCCUAUCAAAUAGGGGUCCCCUAUCUGUAUACCUUUAAUGCUGUACCUAUCCCAACGCCCUGUGCCCCGAGCCUGCCUACAUGUAUUACCUGAAGGUAUAUUUAACCUGCAUUUUUAUCUUGUCUUAUAUGUCAUAUUGGAGGAAUCACUGUUAUGAGGUUGUUCUGGGGGUCGCGGAUCCAUUACCCAGAUCCACGUUGAUUGGAAUAUAAACAAAAAUCAAUGUAGCCUGUGUGAUGAGCCUGUGCCCCCAAAGUAUGUGGAAAUAGUGCUGUGUAUGUGGAAAUUAUGCCUUGCAAGCAGGACAGCUGCUUAGCUGGCACAUUGUGGUGGGCUAAGAUCGUGGGAAAUGAAGAACUAAGGUUGGUCACCUAUAUAAAAAUUGUAAUGUUGUGACAGUUAGGUUGAAGGGGGUAGCAACUACCCCUGUUGUUACAGCAGAAUUGCAAAAUCCAGAAAGUCAUGUGGGACUAUGGUCUUCCGGUAUAAAAGAACUAAGAUGAGAUGUGGAAGUGGCCAAUGUGGGACUAUGGUCUUCUGGUAUGAAAGGACUAAGAUGAGAUGUGGAAGUGGCCAAUUGGCCUCAAGCCAUCCCUUUUGAACUGCUUGUCCAAUUGACCCUCAUUGCAAUGUGAUUUCUGUGUAAGUGUUUGCUAUUUUACCUUAAAAUUCAAUAAACCUCUGAAACUCAAA